Molecule: ribosomal RNA, 254 nt
Filed under: uncultured bacterium
Lineage: Bacteria
Description: partial 16S ribosomal RNA
Rfam family: Bacterial small subunit ribosomal RNA
Source: RNAcentral
UACGGAGGGGGCAAGCGUUGUUCGGAAUUACUGGGCGUAAAGGGCGCGCAGGCGGCUGCUCAAGUCAGGCGUGAAAGGCCUGGGCUCAACCCGGGAAUUGCGCUUGAGACUGGGCUGGCUUGAGUGCGGGAGAGGAUGGUGGAAUUCCCAGUGUAGAGGUGAAAUUCGUAGAUAUCGGGAGGAACACCAGUGGCGAAGGCGGCGAUCUGGGAAGAUACUGACGCUGAGGUGCGAAAGCGUGGGGAGCAAACAGG